UGGGGAAUAUUGGACAAUGGGCGAAAGCCUGAUCAAGCCAUGCCGCGUGUGUGAAGAAGGUCUUCGGAUAGUAAAGCACUUUAAGUUGGGAGGAAGGGCAGUAAGCGAAUACCUUGCUGCUGUGACGUUACCGACAGAAUAAGCACCGGCUAACUCUGUGCCAGCAGCCGCGGUAAAACAGAGGGUGCAAGCGUUAAUCGGAAUUACUGGGCGUAAAGCGCGCGGAGGUGGUUCGUUAAGUUGAAUGUGAAAGCCCCGGGCUCCACCUGGGAACUGCAUCCAAAUCUGGCGAGCUAGAGUAGGGCAGAGGGUGGUGGAAUUUCCUGUGUAGCGGUGAAAUGCGUAGAUAUAGGAAGGAGCACCAGUGGCGAAGCCGACCACCUGGGCUCAUACUGACACUGAGGUGCGAAAGCGUGGGGAGCAAACAGG
RNAcentral lists this ribosomal RNA (429 nucleotides) under Pseudomonadota bacterium. RNAcentral's name for it is "Proteobacteria bacterium partial 16S ribosomal RNA". It matches the Rfam family "Bacterial small subunit ribosomal RNA", at positions 355 to 776 of the family's 1533-position model. Lineage: Bacteria; Pseudomonadati; Pseudomonadota. The record is from RNAcentral.